UACAGAGGUCCCAAGCGUUGUUCGGAUUCAUUGGGCGUAAAGGGUGCGUAGGUGGCGCGCUAAGUCAGGUGUGAAAUUUCGGAGCUUAACUCCGAAACUGCAUUUGAUACUGGCGUGCUUGAGGACUGGAGAGGAGACUGGAAUUUACGGUGUAGCAGUGAAAUGCGUAGAGAUCGUAAGGAAGACCAGUGGCGAAGGCGGGUCUCUGGACAGUUCCUGACACUGAGACACGAAGGCCAGGGGAGCAAACGGG
RNAcentral lists this ribosomal RNA (253 nucleotides) under uncultured bacterium. RNAcentral's name for it is "partial 16S ribosomal RNA". It matches the Rfam family "Bacterial small subunit ribosomal RNA", at positions 524 to 776 of the family's 1533-position model. The record is from RNAcentral.